This 254-nucleotide ribosomal RNA is filed under the name uncultured bacterium. RNAcentral's name for it is "partial 16S ribosomal RNA". It matches the Rfam family "Bacterial small subunit ribosomal RNA", at positions 524 to 776 of the family's 1533-position model. The record is from RNAcentral.
UACGUAGGGGGCAAGCGUUGUCCGGAUUUAUUGGGCGUAAAGAGCUCGUAGGCGGUUGCGUAAGUCGGAUGUGAAAACUCAGGGCUCAACCCUGAGACGCCAUCCGAUACUGCGCUGACUCGAAUCCAGUAGGGGAGUGUGGAAUUCCUGGUGUAGCGGUGAAAUGCGCAGAUAUCAGGAGGAACACCCAUGGCGAAGGCAGCACUCUGGGCUGGUAUUGACGCUGAGGAGCGAAAGCAUGGGUAGCGAACAGG